Molecule: ribosomal RNA, 482 nt
Filed under: uncultured bacterium
Lineage: Bacteria
Description: partial 16S ribosomal RNA
Rfam family: Bacterial small subunit ribosomal RNA
Source: RNAcentral
AUUGAACGCUGGCGGCAUGCCUUACACAUGCAAGUCGAACGGUAACGGGCCUUCGGGUGCCGGCGAGUGGCGCACGGGGGAGUAAUACAUCGGAACGUGCCCGAUCGUGGGGGGUAACGCGGCGGAAGCUUUGCUAAUACCCCAUACGAUCUACGGGUGAGAGCGGGGGACCGCAAGGCCUUGCGCGGUCGGAGCUGCCGAUGGCGGAUUAGGUAGUUGGUGGGAUAAAAGCUUACCAAGACGACGAUCUGUAGCUGGUCUGAGAGGAUGAUCAGCCACACUGGGACUGAGACACGGCCCAGACUCCUACGGGAGGCAGCAGUGGGGAAUUUUGGACAAUGGGCGAAAGCCUGAUCCAGCCAUGCCGCGUGCAGGAUGAAGGCCUUCGGGUUGUAAACUGCUUUUGUACGGAACGAAAAGCAUUCUUUUAAUACAGGGGGGUCAUGACGGUACCGUAAGAAUAAGCACCGGCUAACUACGUG